RNAcentral lists this transfer RNA (73 nucleotides) under Cordylochernes scorpioides. Its description in RNAcentral is "tRNA-Arg". Lineage: Eukaryota; Metazoa; Arthropoda; Arachnida; Pseudoscorpiones; Chernetidae. The record is from RNAcentral.
UACCCCCGGCGGGACUCGAACCCGCAAUCCCCGGUUUAGGAGACCGAUGCCUUAUCCAUUAGGCCACGGAGGC